GAUGAACGCUGGCGGCGUGCAUAACACAUUCAAGUCGAACGGUGACGAGGACUUCGGGUCCUCUGAUCAGUGGCGGACGGGUGAGUAACGCGUGAGCAACCUACCUAUCAGAGGGGGAUAACACAGGGAAACUUGUGCUAAUACCGCAUAAGCCUACAAAACCGCAUGGUUCUGCAGGAAAAACUCCGGUGGUACAGGAUGGGCCCGCGUCUGAUUAGCUAGUUGGUGAUGUAACGGACCACCAAGGCGACGAUCAGUAGCCGGCUUGAGAGAGUGAACGGCCACAUUGGGACUGAGACACGGCCCAGACUCCUACGGGAGACAGCAGUUAGGAAUAUUCGUCAAUGGGGGAAACCCUGAACGAGCAAUGCCGCGUGAACGAUGACGGUCCUCUGGAUUGUAAAGUUCUGUUGUUUAGGAAAAAUUGUAUAAACAGGAAAUGGUUUAUACUUGAUGGUACUAUUCAAGAAAGCCACGGCUAACUACGUG
This 489-nucleotide ribosomal RNA is filed under the name uncultured bacterium. Its description in RNAcentral is "bacterial SSU rRNA". It matches the Rfam family "Bacterial small subunit ribosomal RNA", at positions 28 to 507 of the family's 1533-position model. The record is from RNAcentral.